Long non-coding RNA from Perca fluviatilis (European perch), 363 nucleotides. RefSeq lists it as uncharacterized. The record is from RefSeq and is a predicted model, not a curated record. The transcript has 5 exons. NCBI's taxonomy places the organism in Eukaryota, Metazoa, Chordata, Actinopteri, Perciformes, Percidae.
GUUCCUGGAUCCCGAGUGACAGCCUUCACAUCAUCAGCAGCAGCAGCAGUAGAGAAUAUAAUCCACGGAGGUUUUAUAUCGGUAUGUACGGCGUUUUAAUCACUGUUCUGUCGUCUAAGAAGCUGGUAAACUUAUCAAAAGAUCCAACUUCUUUCCAGGAAAGAUUACGGUGUCUUUAGCGAAGGCUCCAUCAGGUAAAUACCUGACACACAAUAAAUGUUACCAUUACAGUCAUCUCGUGGCGAUGGAGAGGGGGAUGCUUAAUCUCUCUCAGUCUAAAUUUGACACUGAACUAAGGCCAGCAGCAGCAGUCUAAAGAGCCACGGCUGUGUCUCCACCAACAGCACACAGGACAGAGCCAAC